Molecule: long non-coding RNA, 724 nt
Organism: Armigeres subalbatus
Lineage: Eukaryota; Metazoa; Arthropoda; Insecta; Diptera; Culicidae
Exons: 3
Source: RefSeq, a predicted model, not a curated record
UACAGCGGAUUGUCAAAAGCAACUUCGUGAUGUGCCAAGCGGAUGAUUUGCAAAAUUCCUAAAUAUUACUUAUUCUAAAUAUUUCAAUUCUAAAUUGUUACUCUAAACAUCUUAAUUCUAAAAGUGAAUUUAUUCUACCUAUAUAAAUACUUAAAUUUGGAACUGACACAGUUCAUAGUGGAACUAAAACUUAGAUCUCUGAAGUGUCUUAGAACAUUCUUGAGUAAAAGUAGUUAGUUCAGUCUUAGGUGGUCUGGUUGAGCAGAUUGGAAUCAGAGUAGAUAGGACACCGAACGUGUAAGUGUUACGAAACAAUGAAAUUUAACCUAACUAAUUGCAAAAUAUACUUAUAGUUUAAAGCGUUCCCUCAUACAACCAAUCGUGUUUGAGUUGCUGAAAACCCGGUGACCGAUCCCAAGUUCUGCUCCCCGAUAACACAGCUUUAAAACGUUCGUUAUGAAUGCGUCGAACAGGUCUAGAACGCCAGAGCCUACCGAACAGGGAGACUGCGUACAUUGCUCGCGCCCCAAUACAUAUGACAAUUUUGUACAAUGCGACCAAUGCAAUAGCUGGUGGCAUAUGCGCUGCGCGGGUGUAACCGCUUCGAUAGCCGAGCGACCAUGGACUUGUCAAACUUGCUUGCCUUUGAGCGUGGUUACAUCGACCAGUACGUCUCGAAUCGCUUUACGAUUGCAGCAGCUAGAGGAAGAGCGCGCUAUCCAAC